UACGGAGGGGGCUAGCGUUGUUCGGAAUCAUUGGGCGUAAAGGGCGCGUAGGCGGCCGAUCAAGUCGGAGGUGAAAUCCCUCGGCUCAACUGAGGAACUGCCUUCGAUACUGUUCGGCUUGAGUCCUGGAGAGGGUAGCGGAAUUCCCGGUGUAGCGGUGAAAUGCGUAGAGACCGGGAAGAACACCAGUGGCGAAGGCGGGUCUCUGGACAGUUCCUGACACUGAGGCACGAAGGCCAGGGGAGCAAACGGG
This 253-nucleotide ribosomal RNA is filed under the name uncultured bacterium. RNAcentral's name for it is "partial 16S ribosomal RNA". It matches the Rfam family "Bacterial small subunit ribosomal RNA", at positions 524 to 776 of the family's 1533-position model. The record is from RNAcentral.